This is a long non-coding RNA of Strigops habroptila (Kakapo), 2494 nucleotides long. RefSeq lists it as uncharacterized. The transcript is spliced from 2 exons. The record is from RefSeq and is a predicted model, not a curated record. Lineage: Eukaryota; Metazoa; Chordata; Aves; Psittaciformes; Psittacidae.
AGCUCAAGUAAACUGGUUGUGCGUGUCCUCCCCGUUCUUUGCUUGUGUUUAGAAACCUGUCAAAAGCAAUAGUUACGGUUUACCAUGGAUUAAGGACUUGGUUUGGUUUUAAUCAAACGGCAAUCAGAGGACUAAGCCACCUCUAGUACAUCAAAGAAUGAACUUUUCUUCUUUCUCCGCACCAUCCUGCCAAGUAGGUUCGUGACCAAGGUGCCAGUGAAGAUGCAGUUGAACAUAGCUCCAGCUCUGCGAGGGACUCGCCAGGGUGAUUAAGAUGCUCUUUAGAAAUAAAUCCCAUUUUAAAGAUUCUUUUUUUCUCUCAACAGCAUACAAAUUCAGAGUGAAAGUGUUGGGAAGCAUACUGAAAACAAAAAACCUGCAUACCUAUCCCUUCAAUGACUUGCCUUUCCUUUUGGCAUUUUUCGUUUUCCUAAGAUGUUGCCAAUGGGGUAAAUAAGUGUCUAAGGGCAGGAGGAAAUGCCUAGAUAGGAAGUGAUGUCAGUGAUGGUGAGAGAAAGAAGAUAAUGCCCGAAAUGUCAUGUUGCAAUUUUAAUAAAUACCUUGGGAAGUGGGGUAUCACAUGAAGUAUCACCAACUGCACACACUUUGCAUGCACUGCUGGACGAAAGCAGUGUACAAGCCAUGCUCCUUUCUCUCACCAGAAGACAGAAUUUAGAUAGCUUUCCUGGAAGUUUUGUAUUUAGUGGCUGUGCCAGCAUGAGCAGGUAGCGUGGUGUGGUACAUUGUGCUGAGUCCCUGUUGUCUGCUUUCAUGGAGAGGUGUUACUUUGAUCUAACUCUGAUUUGGUCCUGCUUUUUAGCAGUUGGGAGACUAUAAAGUGUGCUCCAAGUGUGCUCUGGAGCAUGAAGCAUGGUGUUGUGCAUGGAAGUGAUUUGCCUGAAAAGCACACUGGCAGUCUGAAGAAAUCUUGAAGGGAAGGGGUUAUGAAAGAAACCCAUCCAGCAUUCAUUCAUGAUUCGAAUGUCCACAGGUUAAGAAUCCAGGCCUUUUAGCUCAGUCUCUUCCUUAUCAAAUGUAUUUUCACUUGCCAGCUUUUUCUCCUCAGGAUCUAUCACAUCAUGUCUAAUAUUCAGGACAAAGUAGCAGGAUUUUUUCACCUUACAAAAACUGUGUGUUUCUUUGCUCGUUCUCAAAGCCACUGCAGUGCAAGGGAAGACGUUCUGGCUCUCAGUCUGCUUUAAUUCUGAGCAAAGCCCAAUUGAGUAGUCACUUUUCCCCUCGACAAAUUUGCUUCACUGUGGCGUACUUUAAAUAGUGGAAUUUCAGAAAACCAUUCUGCAUAAUGGUAUGCUUAUUUUCUGUUCCUUUGGGUUUUUCUUUUGAAACAUGCUCAAGCUUAUGAGGGCAAUUUAUGAACUGUCCUUCCUGUAGGAGCACCAUAGAUCUUUUUCUAGUCACGUGUCACCGCAAAUACUAAAAGUUUAAGUCAAAUUGUGUCUUAAGUAUUGCUUUUGAUUUAUGCUUUCUGACACUUAGCCAACGUUAUUAUUUUCACUGGGUUUGGGGAACUCUUAAGUGACAGGAAUUUAAUAAAAAAAUUUUACUAGUGCUUCUUAAGAAGAGAAUUCAUCACACACUUAUUCUCACACUGGAAAUAUUUUAUACCAGAAACAAAAUAAACAAAUGAAUGGGAUUUUGACUGAUUUAUGAUUUUUUUUUUUUUUUUUUUAAUUCGAGUAGGAAGUGUUUAUUCCAAAUACAUUAGGAACACAUCUGUUCAGAUAAAAGAUGCCACAUUUGUUUUCCUGCUUUGGAAUAGGAACUUUCCAGCUGCAGUAGUUCUUGUUUUUUUACAAAAGCACACAAUAAAAUUUUUAAUGCAUUAUUGAGAAAUAGUAAUCCUUUCCUUUUACCCCAAAUUGAAAAAACAUCAAUCCAACUGAAAAAGCAUAAAUCCAACUAUGAAAAACUGGAGAGGUGGAUUAAAAAAUAGUCUAUUCUUAAAAGUUACCUUAAAAUACACCUUCAUGGUUAAGAUUUGAAGUAUGAGGAUUUUGAAGCGCCAAGAACAAAGAGCAAAACCAGAAAUACUGUCUUUCCACUGAUGCAAAUCUAUCCCUGUGAUGAUUAUGAGAGAACUAACCUUAAGUAAGGUAUUGUUUCAUGGCUAAAUAGUAUCCAUAUGUUUGUUACACCUAAGACCAAAUACCUCUGUGAUUUUCAUUUUUUUGUUGUUGUUGUUUUUUCGAGAGAUGUUAUCUAGGCACUGGUCAUAGGUCGGGUGGUUGAAAGAGAUUGAACAGAUAUUUGUAGUCAGAAUGCGAAAUGGAGUGAAAGAAGCAUGCUCGGUGUAGCCUAUCCCAGUGUAUCCUGGGACUGUGGGAAUAUCCCCAUGAGAAACUCCCAUUAAACAAAACAUGCUAUUUUUUUUUUCUUCUUUGAAAUUGCACAAAGAGUUCACCGACGUUAUACAAUUUGUUGGUUGCGCUUACUGUAGUAAUUAACAUUUUAAAUAAAACCUUUUCCUGAUGCA